AUGAUCAUUGGUGAUUUUAAUGAGAUCUCGAACAUGAGUGAGAAAGAAGGAGGGAAUGCUAGGCCUGAACAGUAUAUGAGAGAUUUCAGAGAUUGUAUUGAAGACUGUGGACUGCAUGAGGUCAUGUUCAUAGGUGACGAGUUUACUUGGAGACGAGGGGAUAUUCGAGAGAGGUUGGAUAGAGCCCUUUGCAAUGACUUGUGGGCAGAGAAAUUCCCAUAUGCAGCUGUUGUGCAUGAACAACACGUUCAUUCAGAUCAUAGGCCUGUUCUG
This 273-nucleotide ribosomal RNA is filed under the name Triticum aestivum (bread wheat). RNAcentral describes it as "partial small subunit ribosomal RNA". Lineage: Eukaryota; Viridiplantae; Streptophyta; Magnoliopsida; Poales; Poaceae. The record is from RNAcentral.